RNAcentral lists this small RNA (690 nucleotides) under Arabidopsis thaliana (thale cress). RNAcentral describes it as "ATSL264310". Lineage: Eukaryota; Viridiplantae; Streptophyta; Magnoliopsida; Brassicales; Brassicaceae. The record is from RNAcentral.
ACUACUAAUGCAAAUAGGGAAGUCUUUUGGGGCAAAUUUGAUCUUUUAUAAACUCAAAAGCGUCUAGGGUUUUUGCUGGGCCAAAAUUGGUGUCGAUCGACACCAAGAAUGUGUCGAUCGACACUCCUCGCUGAUUUCUGAACCAAAAUCGUCCUUAGCUUCCUUUUCCUUAGCUUUUGCUCCAAAAUGUCUCCUUAUCUCCAUUGUUGUCCCAUUGAAUUGAAUACCUGAAAAGACACUAAAAAUACUCGAGAAAUAACUUAAAGACUCAAAAUCCUAUACGUAAAACAUAGAUAAAAUUGGUGAAAAUCGGGUUAUAUCAACUCCCCCAGACUUAGCUUUUGCUUGCCCUCAAGCAAAACACAAAAGCCGAACCCGUGGAAGAGGUUUUGAAAACAAAGGAACUCCCAACAUUCUCUAGCCUAUUACCAUGAUCAUUCAAACUAAGUCCAUAUGCCUAACAAGUCUAAUCAAAUCCUAACCAACAUGUACUUCUCUGCAAGCUUACACAACAUUCUAGAUUCCAUACCUAAGUUCCACAACUAUAUCCACCAGGCUUUCAUCGCUGGGUCUCAUCAAACAAGCCACCAUUCAAGAUCCUUCUAGACUCAUUCAUGUACUAUACCAUGAUAAAUUAACCAUUCUUUAUAUAUUUUUUUCUUUUUCAGUGUUCUUUCUCUCCCCCUGACU